This 304-nucleotide ribosomal RNA is filed under the name uncultured cyanobacterium. Its description in RNAcentral is "bacterial SSU rRNA". It matches the Rfam family "Bacterial small subunit ribosomal RNA", at positions 1092 to 1397 of the family's 1533-position model. Lineage: Bacteria; Bacillati; Cyanobacteriota. The record is from RNAcentral.
ACGAGCGCAACCCUCGUCCUUAGUUGCCAUCAUUAAGUUGGGCACUUUAAGGAGACUGCCGGUGACAAACCGGAGGAAGGUGGGGAUGACGUCAAGUCAUCAUGCCCCUUACAUCCUGGGCUACACACGUACUACAAUGCAACGGACAAAGGGCAGCCAACUAGCGAUAGUGCGCAAAUCCCAUAAACCGUUGCUCAGUUCAGAUUGCAGGCUGCAACUCGCCUGCAUGAAGGCGGAAUCGCUAGUAAUCGCAGGUCAGCAUACUGCGGUGAAUACGUUCCCGGGCCUUGUACACACCGCCCGU